CCUACGGGAGGCAGCAGUGGGGGAUAUUGCACAAUGGGGGGAACCCUGAUGCAGCGACGCCGCGUGGGUGAAGAAGCGCCUCGGCGCGUAAAGCCCUGUCAGCAGGGAAGAAAAUGAAGGUACCUGAAGAAGAAGCUCCGGCUAACUACGUGCCAGCAGCCGCGGUAAUACGGAGGGGGCAAGCGUUAUCCGGAUUUACUGGGCGUAAAGGGGGCGCAGUGGGGGAUGUAAGUCAGGAGUGAAGGCCCGGGGCCGAACCCCGGGACAGCUGUUGGAACUGCGUGGCUGGAGUGCAGGAGGGGCAGGCGGAAUGCGUGGUGGAGCGGUGAAAUGCGUAGAUAUCAGGAAGAACACCGGUGGCGAAGGCGGCAUGCUGGACUGCAACUGACGUUGAGGCACGAAAGCGUGGGGAGCAAACAGGAUUAGAUACCCGUGUAGUC
This 440-nucleotide ribosomal RNA is filed under the name uncultured bacterium. RNAcentral's name for it is "partial 16S ribosomal RNA". It matches the Rfam family "Bacterial small subunit ribosomal RNA", at positions 338 to 795 of the family's 1533-position model. The record is from RNAcentral.